GUAAACAAUAGCUCAGUCGGUAGAGCACGAGACUCAUAAUCUCAGGGUUAUGGGUUUGAGCCCCCCAUUGGGCAAACCA
RNAcentral lists this transfer RNA (79 nucleotides) under Podarcis lilfordi (Lilford's wall lizard). Its description in RNAcentral is "tRNA.Met". The stretch from base 8 to 69 matches the Rfam family "tRNA", at positions 7 to 64 of the family's 71-position model. Rfam says of the family: Transfer RNA (tRNA) molecules are approximately 80 nucleotides in length. Their secondary structure includes four short double-helical elements and three loops (D, anti-codon, and T loops). Further hydrogen bonds mediate the characteristic L-shaped molecular structure. tRNAs have two regions of fundamental functional importance: the anti-codon, which is responsible for specific mRNA codon recognition, and the 3' end, to which the tRNAs corresponding amino acid is attached (by aminoacyl-tRNA synthetases). tRNAs cope with the degeneracy of the genetic code in two manners: having more than one tRNA (with a specific anti-codon) for a particular amino acid; and 'wobble' base-pairing, i.e. permitting non-standard base-pairing at the 3rd anti-codon position. The record is from RNAcentral. Lineage: Eukaryota; Metazoa; Chordata; Lepidosauria; Squamata; Lacertidae.